RNAcentral lists this ribosomal RNA (348 nucleotides) under Triticum aestivum (bread wheat). RNAcentral describes it as "partial small subunit ribosomal RNA". The record is from RNAcentral. Lineage: Eukaryota; Viridiplantae; Streptophyta; Magnoliopsida; Poales; Poaceae.
AUGAGACUGGCCGCUGUCAUCCCGCAAAUCAUAUCCCCUGCACAAUCAGCUUUCCAAAAGGGAAAAUGCAUUCACGACAGUUAUCUCUACGUCCAAGGAUGCGUAAAAUCUCUCCACAGAAGAAACAAGCCUGCUCUGCUCUUCAAAUUAGACAUAGAGAAAGCGUUCGACUCCAUCUCUUGGGAUUACCUUCUCGAGCUGCUACAGCGUUUAGGCUUCCCUGCAAGAUGGAGAGACUGGAUCUCCAUACUUCUCUCCACGGCGACAUCCUCUUGUCUGUUAAACGGCGAUGCAGGGCAAGCCAUAGUACACUUGCAGGGUUUGAGACAAGGCGAUCCGCUCUCCCCU